Molecule: non-coding RNA, 327 nt
Organism: Vicia faba (fava bean)
Lineage: Eukaryota; Viridiplantae; Streptophyta; Magnoliopsida; Fabales; Fabaceae
Source: the annotation of a GenBank genome assembly
AUGGAAAUCAUUGGUGGAUUAGUUGUUGAUAUCGGGUAUGUUCCACUAAAGGGAAAGAAAGCUGCCAAUAAACUUUCCACCAAUGAAAACCCUGCUGUAACAAUCACAAAGGGAAAGGAAGCUGCGAAGGAACUUCGUACAAAUGACAUUGAUGUCAUGACAACCACAAAGGGAAAGAAAGUUGCUAAGAAAGUUUGUAGCAAUGACAUCCCUGUUGUGACAACGCCGAACAUCACUAUUGUUCCCACCAAUACUGAAAAUAUUGUAAUUCAUCAUAUUAAGGAAAAAUCGGUUGAAAUCACCUAUGAGGAUAUAUAUAACAUAUAA